RNAcentral lists this ribosomal RNA (161 nucleotides) under Stangeria eriopus. RNAcentral's name for it is "5.8S rRNA". It matches the Rfam family "5.8S ribosomal RNA". From Rfam's summary of the family: 5.8S ribosomal RNA (5.8S rRNA) is a component of the large subunit of the eukaryotic ribosome. It is transcribed by RNA polymerase I as part of the 45S precursor that also contains 18S and 28S rRNA. The record is from RNAcentral. Lineage: Eukaryota; Viridiplantae; Streptophyta; Cycadopsida; Cycadales; Zamiaceae.
GUAUGACUCUCGGCAACAAAUAUCUCAACCCUCAUCAUGAUGAAGAAUGUAGCAAAAUGUGAUACCUUAUUUGCAUUAUAGAAUCCCGUAAAUGAUCAAGUCUUUGAAUAUAAGUUACGUCCCAGGCCUAGGCUAAGGGUACAUCUACUUGGGUGUUGCAU